RNAcentral lists this transfer RNA (72 nucleotides) under Camelus bactrianus (Bactrian camel). It matches the Rfam family "tRNA". From Rfam's summary of the family: Transfer RNA (tRNA) molecules are approximately 80 nucleotides in length. Their secondary structure includes four short double-helical elements and three loops (D, anti-codon, and T loops). Lineage: Eukaryota; Metazoa; Chordata; Mammalia; Artiodactyla; Camelidae. RNAcentral also lists the same sequence under 2 other names. The record is from Rfam by way of RNAcentral.
GUGCGUAUAGCUUAGUGGCAGAGCACAUACUUAACACGCAUGAGGUCCUGGGUUCAAUCCCCAGUACCUCCA